AUGAAAAUCAAGCUAUUAUUUCUUACUCCAAUAGCAGCCCCAAUGCUGCCCAUUUUCAAACACUGUUUUAAUACAAUAACAGUCCAAUUCUUGGGCAUUUUGCUAUCCAAAAACAGCAGUAGAAAACAGUCCCAAUGCUGUUUAUUUUCUCCAGCCUUGUUUCAACACAAACUAGUCCAUUUUUUGUGGUAUUUUGUUGUCAAAAGAACUAGUGCAAGUCAUUUCAAAACAGCCUGUAAAUCAGUCUAA
Vicia faba (fava bean) is the source of this 249-nucleotide non-coding RNA. Lineage: Eukaryota; Viridiplantae; Streptophyta; Magnoliopsida; Fabales; Fabaceae. The record is from the annotation of a GenBank genome assembly.